This 21-nucleotide non-coding RNA is filed under the name Arabidopsis thaliana (thale cress). Lineage: Eukaryota; Viridiplantae; Streptophyta; Magnoliopsida; Brassicales; Brassicaceae. The record is from RNAcentral.
UGGUCGCCGGAACUUUGGUUG